Molecule: ribosomal RNA, 2773 nt
Filed under: Escherichia coli
Lineage: Bacteria; Pseudomonadati; Pseudomonadota; Gammaproteobacteria; Enterobacterales; Enterobacteriaceae
Description: bacterial LSU rRNA
Rfam family: Bacterial large subunit ribosomal RNA
Source: RNAcentral
AGCGUACACGGUGGAUGCCCUGGCAGUCAGAGGCGAUGAAGGACGUGCUAAUCUGCGAUAAGCGUCGGUAAGGUGAUAUGAACCGUUAUAACCGGCGAUUUCCGAAUGGGGAAACCCAGUGUGUUUCGACACACUAUCAUUAACUGAAUCCAUAGGUUAAUGAGGCGAACCGGGGGAACUGAAACAUCUAAGUACCCCGAGGAAAAGAAAUCAACCGAGAUUCCCCCAGUAGCGGCGAGCGAACGGGGAGCAGCCCAGAGCCUGAAUCAGUGUGUGUGUUAGUGGAAGCGUCUGGAAAGGCGCGCGAUACAGGGUGACAGCCCCGUACACAAAAAUGCACAUGCUGUGAGCUCGAUGAGUAGGGCGGGACACGUGGUAUCCUGUCUGAAUAUGGGGGGACCAUCCUCCAAGGCUAAAUACUCCUGACUGACCGAUAGUGAACCAGUACCGUGAGGGAAAGGCGAAAAGAACCCCGGCGAGGGGAGUGAAAAAGAACCUGAAACCGUGUACGUACAAGCAGUGGGAGCACGCUUAGGCGUGUGACUGCGUACCUUUUGUAUAAUGGGUCAGCGACUUAUAUUCUGUAGCAAGGUUAACCGAAUAGGGGAGCCGAAGGGAAACCGAGUCUUAACUGGGCGUUAAGUUGCAGGGUAUAGACCCGAAACCCGGUGAUCUAGCCAUGGGCAGGUUGAAGGUUGGGUAACACUAACUGGAGGACCGAACCGACUAAUGUUGAAAAAUUAGCGGAUGACUUGUGGCUGGGGGUGAAAGGCCAAUCAAACCGGGAGAUAGCUGGUUCUCCCCGAAAGCUAUUUAGGUAGCGCCUCGUGAAUUCAUCUCCGGGGGUAGAGCACUGUUUCGGCAAGGGGGUCAUCCCGACUUACCAACCCGAUGCAAACUGCGAAUACCGGAGAAUGUUAUCACGGGAGACACACGGCGGGUGCUAACGUCCGUCGUGAAGAGGGAAACAACCCAGACCGCCAGCUAAGGUCCCAAAGUCAUGGUUAAGUGGGAAACGAUGUGGGAAGGCCCAGACAGCCAGGAUGUUGGCUUAGAAGCAGCCAUCAUUUAAAGAAAGCGUAAUAGCUCACUGGUCGAGUCGGCCUGCGCGGAAGAUGUAACGGGGCUAAACCAUGCACCGAAGCUGCGGCAGCGACGCUGAUGCGUUGUUGGGUAGGGGAGCGUUCUGUAAGCCUGCGAAGGUGUGCUGUGAGGCAUGCUGGAGGUAUCAGAAGUGCGAAUGCUGACAUAAGUAACGAUAAAGCGGGUGAAAAGCCCGCUCGCCGGAAGACCAAGGGUUCCUGUCCAACGUUAAUCGGGGCAGGGUGAGUCGACCCCUAAGGCGAGGCCGAAAGGCGUAGUCGAUGGGAAACAGGUUAAUAUUCCUGUACUUGGUGUUACUGCGAAGGGGGGACGGAGAAGGCUAUGUUGGCCGGGCGACGGUUGUCCCGGUUUAAGCGUGUAGGCUGGUUUUCCAGGCAAAUCCGGAAAAUCAAGGCUGAGGCGUGAUGACGAGGCACUACGGUGCUGAAGCAACAAAUGCCCUGCUUCCAGGAAAAGCCUCUAAGCAUCAGGUAACAUCAAAUCGUACCCCAAACCGACACAGGUGGUCAGGUAGAGAAUACCAAGGCGCUUGAGAGAACUCGGGUGAAGGAACUAGGCAAAAUGGUGCCGUAACUUCGGGAGAAGGCACGCUGAUAUGUAGGUGAGGUCCCUCGCGGAUGGAGCUGAAAUCAGUCGAAGAUACCAGCUGGCUGCAACUGUUUAUUAAAAACACAGCACUGUGCAAACACGAAAGUGGACGUAUACGGUGUGACGCCUGCCCGGUGCCGGAAGGUUAAUUGAUGGGGUUAGCGCAAGCGAAGCUCUUGAUCGAAGCCCCGGUAAACGGCGGCCGUAACUAUAACGGUCCUAAGGUAGCGAAAUUCCUUGUCGGGUAAGUUCCGACCUGCACGAAUGGCGUAAUGAUGGCCAGGCUGUCUCCACCCGAGACUCAGUGAAAUUGAACUCGCUGUGAAGAUGCAGUGUACCCGCGGCAAGACGGAAAGACCCCGUGAACCUUUACUAUAGCUUGACACUGAACAUUGAGCCUUGAUGUGUAGGAUAGGUGGGAGGCUUAGAAGUGUGGACGCCAGUCUGCAUGGAGCCGACCUUGAAAUACCACCCUUUAAUGUUUGAUGUUCUAACGUUGACCCGUAAUCCGGGUUGCGGACAGUGUCUGGUGGGUAGUUUGACUGGGGCGGUCUCCUCCUAAAGAGUAACGGAGGAGCACGAAGGUUGGCUAAUCCUGGUCGGACAUCAGGAGGUUAGUGCAAUGGCAUAAGCCAGCUUGACUGCGAGCGUGACGGCGCGAGCAGGUGCGAAAGCAGGUCAUAGUGAUCCGGUGGUUCUGAAUGGAAGGGCCAUCGCUCAACGGAUAAAAGGUACUCCGGGGAUAACAGGCUGAUACCGCCCAAGAGUUCAUAUCGACGGCGGUGUUUGGCACCUCGAUGUCGGCUCAUCACAUCCUGGGGCUGAAGUAGGUCCCAAGGGUAUGGCUGUUCGCCAUUUAAAGUGGUACGCGAGCUGGGUUUAGAACGUCGUGAGACAGUUCGGUCCCUAUCUGCCGUGGGCGCUGGAGAACUGAGGGGGGCUGCUCCUAGUACGAGAGGACCGGAGUGGACGCAUCACUGGUGUUCGGGUUGUCAUGCCAAUGGCACUGCCCGGUAGCUAAAUGCGGAAGAGAUAAGUGCUGAAAGCAUCUAAGCACGAAACUUGCCCCGAGAUGAGUUCU